CAGCCGCCGCGGUAAUACGGAGGGUGCAAGCGUUAUCCGGAUUCACUGGGUUUAAAGGGUGCGUAGGCGGAUAGGUAAGUCAGGGGUGAAAUCCUGGAGCUUAACUCCAGAACUGCCUUUGAUACUAUCUAUCUUGAAUAUGGUGGAGGUAAGCGGAAUAUGUCAUGUAGCGGUGAAAUGCAUAGAUAUGACAUAGAACACCUAUUGCGAAGGCAGCUUACUACGCCUAUAUUGACGCUGAGGCACGAAAGCGUGGGGAUCAAACAGGAUUAGAUACCCUGGUAGUCCACGCCCUAAACGAUGAUUACUCGACGUAUGCGAUACACAGUAUGCGUCUGAGCGAAAGCAUUAAGUAAUCCACCUGGGAAGUACGACCGCAAGGUUGAAACUUAAAGGAAUUGGCGG
RNAcentral lists this ribosomal RNA (405 nucleotides) under uncultured rumen bacterium. RNAcentral's name for it is "bacterial SSU rRNA". It matches the Rfam family "Bacterial small subunit ribosomal RNA", at positions 509 to 916 of the family's 1533-position model. The record is from RNAcentral.